RNAcentral lists this ribosomal RNA (2006 nucleotides) under human gut metagenome. Its description in RNAcentral is "bacterial LSU rRNA". It matches the Rfam family "Bacterial large subunit ribosomal RNA", at positions 1 to 2003 of the family's 2925-position model. The record is from RNAcentral.
AUAAGAUAUCAAGGGCAACAGGUGAAUGCCUUGGCGCUGAGAGGCGAUGAAAGACGCGGUAAGCUGCGAUAAGCAUCGGGGAGGAGCUAAACAUCCUACGAUCCGAUGAUUUCUGAAUGGGGAAACCCGAUGGGAGUCAUGUCCCAUCAUCCUGAGCUGAAUAUAUAGGCCCAGAGAAGCCAACCCGGGGAAGUGAAACAUCUCAGUACCCGGAGGAAGAGAAAUCAAACGAGACUCCCAAAGUAGCGGCGAGCGAAAUGGGAAGAGCCCAAACCGGGUGGUUUCGACCAUUCGGGGUUGUAGGGCCGGCAUACGCGAUUCUGGAGUAGGCAGAGGAAGUGAGCUGGAAAGCUCCGCCACAGCGGGUGAUAGCCCCGUACUCGAAACCGAAAAGGACGCAGCCGGUACCUGAGUACUGCGAGGCACGUGGAACCUCGUGGGAAUCUAGGGGGACCAUCCUCUAAGGCUAAGUACUCCUCAGCGACCGAUAGUGAACUAGUACCGUGAGGGAAAGGUGAAAAGAACCCCUGUUAGGGGAGUGAAAUAGAAUCUGAAACCUGUUGCCUACAAGCUGCGAGAGCUGCUUCGGCAGUAAUCGCGUGCCUUUUGUAUAAUGAGUCAGCGAGUUACUCUACCGUGCGAGGUUAAGCGAAAGCGUAGCCGUAGUGAAAGCGAGGCUUAAUAGGCCGACUAGUACGUUGGAGUAGACCCGAAACCGGGUGAUCUAUCCAUGAGCAGGUUGAAGCAAGGGUAAAGCCUUGUGGAGGACCGAACCGUCAACGGCUGAAAACGUUCCGGAUGACUUGUGGAUAGGGGUGAAAGGUCAAUCAAACCCGGUGAUAGCUGGUUCUCCCCGAAAUAUAUUGAGGUAUAGCCUCGGGAAUUGAUUAGCGGAGGUAAAGCACUGACAGAGCUAGGGGUCCUACCAGAUUACCAAACUCUAUCAAACUCAGAAUGCCGCUUAAUUGUAUCCCGGGAGUCAGACGGCGGGUGCGAAGGUUCGUCGUCAAAAGGGAAACAGCCCAGACCAACAGCUAAGGUCUCCAAAUCCAUGCUCAGUGGUGAAGGUAGUGGAACCGUUUAGACAGCCAGGACGUUGGCUUAGAAGCAGCCAUCGUUUAAAGAAAGCGUAAUAGCUCACUGGUCUAAUGGCUCUGCGCCGAAAAUGUAACGGGGCUAAGCAUGGUACCGAAGCUUUGGCAAUCUCCUUUGGAGAUUGGGUAGGGGAGCGUUCGCUGCGGGCUGAAGGUGUGCCGGAAGGCAUGCUGGACUGCAGUGAAGUGAUUAUGCUGACAUGAGUAACGAUAAAAUAUGUGAAAAACAUAUUCGCCGAAAACCCGAGGUUUCCUGGGUAAAGGUAAUCUUCCCAGGGUUAGUCGGAUCCUAAGGUGAGGGUGAAAGCCGUAACCGAUGGAAAACAGGUUAAUAUUCCUGUACUUGUUGUGUAGCGCGAUGGAGGGACGCAGGAAGAUAGGCGGGCCGGGUGUUGGAUAUCCCGGUGCAAGCGUGUAGGAAUAUCCGGUAGGCAAAUCCGCCGGACGAAUCUGAGACGCGAGUCCGUGGGCGCAAGCCCUGAAGCCGUUGAGUCUAUGCUGCCUAGAAAAGCUCCUAAGUUUAUCCACAGCAAUCCGUACCGCAAACCAACUCAGGUGGGUGGGAUGAACAAUCCAAGGCGCUCGAGAGAACUCUGGCCAAGGAACUCGGCAAAAUAACCCCGUAACUUCGGAAGAAGGGGUGCUCUCUAGGGUGACAUGUUUAACAUAUGAAGCCCCGGGGAGCCGCAGUGAAUUGGUGGUGGCGACUGUUUACUAAAAACAUAGGUCUGUGCGAAGUCCUAAAGACGACGUAUACGGACUGACGCCUGCCCGGUGCUGGAAGGUUAAAAGGAGGGGUCAGCGCAAGCAAAGCUCCGAAUUGAAGCCCCAGUAAACGGCGGCCGUAACUAUAACGGUCCUAAGGUAGCGAAAUUCCUUGUCGGGUAAGUUCCGACCUGCACGAAUGGCGUA